UAGCGUAUAUUUAAGUUGUUGCAGUUAAAAAGCUCGUAGUUGGAUUUUGGUUAAGAGGGCGCGGUCGGCCGUUUGGUCUGUACUGCGUUGUCUUGACUUCCUGAUGAGGACAUGCUCUUGGUUAACGCUGAGACAUGGAGUCAUCGUGGUUACUUUGAAAAAAUUAGAGUGUUCAAAGCGGGCUUACGCUUGAAUAUAUUAGCAUGGAAUAACACUAUAGGACUCCUGUCCUAUCUCGUUGGUCUCGGGAUGGGAGUAAUGAUUAAGAGGAACAGUUGGGGGCAUUCGUAUUUCAUUGUCAGAGGUGAAAUUCUUGGAUUUAUGAAAGACGAACUUCUGCGAAAGCAUUUGCCAAGGAUGUUUUCAUUAAUCAAGAACGAAAGUUGGGGGCUCGAAGAUGAUUAGAUACCAUCCUAGUCUCAACCAUAAACGAUGCCGACUAGGGAUUGGUGGAUGUUAAUUGAUGACUUCACCAGCACCUUAUGAGAAAUCAAAGUUUUUGGGUUCCGGGGGGAGUAUGGUCGCAAGGCUGAAACUUAAAGGAAUUGAC
Molecule: ribosomal RNA, 550 nt
Filed under: uncultured Chlorophyta
Lineage: Eukaryota; Viridiplantae; Chlorophyta
Description: SSU rRNA
Rfam family: Eukaryotic small subunit ribosomal RNA
Source: RNAcentral